RNAcentral lists this long non-coding RNA (4330 nucleotides) under Ictidomys tridecemlineatus (thirteen-lined ground squirrel). Its description in RNAcentral is "lncRNA (ENSSTOG00000023026.2)". Lineage: Eukaryota; Metazoa; Chordata; Mammalia; Rodentia; Sciuridae. The record is from RNAcentral.
CUCGACCUGGUCAACUCAGGACGUGUACAGCUUGAAUUCAGCUGGACCUCAGAAGAUACUGCAAAAGCAGUCAGCUUCGUGACGCCAGGAGUGCAAGGUUCUGCUCUAAAAGAUCAGCUUAGUCAGGGCACGGGCAGCACCCCGGACAGUGGAAUGGACCACUGGAACGAAGCUUGCCCCUCGGCCUUCUCUGUGGAGCCCUCCUCCGGCAUCGUGCCCGUGGGAAAGACUCAGAAGCUCAAAGUGAAAUUCUCCCCACUGGACAUUGGAGAGUUCGAAAGCAACCUUUUCUGCCAGAUUCCCAACCUGCCACCUGGAGAGCAAGCUCCAGUCCUGGUAGCAAAAGGACGGAGCUUCUUGCCCCUCUGCCAUUUUGACCUGAAAGAUUCGGACUAUAUCACUGGUUAUCGGCGCAACGCAGAGCUCCGAGGGAAUGAUUCAGGACCCCUGGACGCAAACACCCGGGUGAUUGAGUUCACCAGUGUGGGCGUAGGAGAAAAGAAUCUCCAGACCUUUACCAUCCUGAACCCAACCAAUAGUGCCUACUCCUUCCGCUGGAUGUCCGAAGAAACUGAAAGUCUCCAGAACCCUCCAGCCUUCACAUGCCUCACAGAGAAGGGCUGCAUCCACCCUGAAAAGAAAGCUGAGAUUGUGUUCCAGUUCACACCUUCCCAUCUGGACAUCACAGAAGCAUUCUGGACCUUCUUAAUCCCUGAACACAAUAUCUCAGUCCCUUUCCUUCUGGUGGGCAAAGCCAUUGACCCUCUCAUCUCUCUGGACAAGUCACACAUCAACUUCAGUUCUCUCCUCAUUGGCAGAGAAGCCCGGGAGACUGUGCAGAUCAUCAACAAGGAGGACCUGGGCUUCAACUUUGCCUUUCAGGACAACUCCCGAUAUUCUGAAGGCUUCAGCAAUAGCCUGGUGGUUUGUCCCAUGGAAGGCUGGAUUCCACCACUGUCCAGGGUAUCAGUUGAUAUUUUCUUCACACCAAAGCAUGAAGGAGAUGUGAACUUUAAUUUGAUCUGCAAUGUGAACAAGAAAGUUCACCCUCUGACAUUAAAUGUCAAAGCUGAGGGGUACACUGUGAAUGCAGAGGUCAAGUGCAAGGACAGGAUUGGCUCCGUCACUCUCUUGACACCCAACCAGACCAACAUCAUCAACUUCUAUGAGGCAGAAUUAAAUGAAUGUGUCCAGUGUGAAUUCAGUUUUACCAAUGCUGGGAAGUUCAACUUCAACUUCCAGGGAGAGCUUGCUGGGCCCAAAACCCUAUUGAAGUACUUUGAAUUUUCACCUACCAACGGCACUGUGAAUGUGGGGCAGAGUGAACACGCCACCCUGUCUUUCCACCCAAAUCAGAAGUGUGUCUUGAAUGGCCUGGAACUCAUAAUUAAGAUCAUCCAUGGCCCGACAUUUAUAUGUAGCAUCUCAGGCUGUGCUGUGAGUCCAGUCAUCCAUUUCUCCUUUACCAGCUACAACUUUGGGACUUGCUUCAUCUACCAAGCUGGGAUGCCCCCAUACAAACAAACCCUGGUUGUCACCAACAGGGAAGAAACAUCCAUGAGCAUAGACUGUUUGUACACCAACACCCCCCACCUGGAGGUGAACUUCCGUGUGGAUGUGGUGAAGCCAGGAAAUUCUCUGGAGAUUCCAAUUAUCUUUUAUCCUCGAGAAACUAUCAGCUAUCAAGAACUCAUCCCCUUCGAGAUCAAUGGGCUCUCCCAGCAAAUUGUGGAAAUCAAAGGGAAAGGCACUGAAAUGAAGAUUUCAGUCCUAGAUCCAGCCAACAGGAUUGUGAAGUUAGGAGCUGUCUCACCAGGAAACGUCGUGACGAAAAUGGUUUCCAUCAAGAACAACAGCCUUGCCCAGCUCACAUUUAACCAGUCAGUCCUGUUCUCUGUUCCAGAACUCCAGGAACCCAAGGUCAUCACCUUGGAGCCCUUCCAGAACAUCACUCUGAAGCCCAAAGAAGUCUGUAAAGUGGAAGUCACCUUUGCCCCAAAGAAGCGUGUCCCUGCCUUCUCCGAAGAAGUGUUCAUGGAAUGCAUGGGACUCCUGCGCCCCCUCUUCCUCAUCAACGGGUGCUGCCAGGCCCUGGAGAUCUCCCUGGACCAGGAACAUGUUGCCUUCGGACCAGUUGUGUAUCAGACUCAAGCCACCCGCCGCAUCCUCAUGUUGAACUCUGGUGAUGUGGGGGCAAGGUUUAAAUGGGACACCAAAAAAACUGAGCCUCAUUUCAACAUCACCCCAGAAGAAGGCUAUAUCACCUCAGGCAUGGAAGUCUCUUUCGAAGUGACCUACCAUCCCACAGAGGUGGGAAAGGAGAGUCUCUGUAAAAACGUGCCUUGCUUCAUCCAGGGAGGUAAUUCUCUGUGCCUCACCCUGUCUGGAGUCUGCGUAGGACCACCUGCAGUAAAAGAGGUGGUGAACUUCAACUGCCAGGUUCGCUCCAAGCACACACAGACCAUCCUGCUGUCAAACCGCACCAACCAGACCUGGAAUCUGCGCCCUAUCUUUGAGGGUGAGCACUGGGAGGGGCCCGAGUUCGUCACCCUGGAGGCCCAUCAGCAGAACAAGCCCUAUGAGAUCACCUACCGGCCCCGCACCAUGAACGUAGAGAAUCGCAAGCACCAGGGCACUCUCUUCUUUCCCCUCCCCGAUGGGACUGGCUGGCUGUAUGCUUUGCAUGGGACUUCUGACGUCCCCAAAGCUGUAGCCAAUAUCAGCCGUGAAGUGCCAUGUAAGACCCCCUACACUGAGCUCCUGCCAGUCACCAACUGGCUGAACAAGCCCCAGAGAUUCCGGGUCAUUGUGGAAAUGCUGAAACCAGAGAAGCCAGACCUCAGUGUCACUAUGAAGGGCCUUGAUUACAUCGACGUACUCUCUGGCUCCAAGAAGGACUACAAGCUCAACUUCUUCUCCCACAGAGAGGGGCUGUACAAUGCAAAGGUGAUCUUCAGAAAUGAGUCCACCAAUGAGUUCUUGUACUAUAUAGUGAGUUUCAAGGUCAUCCCUUCAGGCGUCAUCAAAACCAUCGACAUGACUAGCUUGGUCCGGCAGAGUACGUCAGCCUCCAUCAAGGUGGAAAACCCCCUGCCCUACUCGGUGACCUUCUCCACCGACUGCAGGGUGCCGGACAUCAUCCUGCCCUCCCAGUUUAUCGUGCCUGCCAACUCUGAGGGCACGUUUUCAUUCGAAUUCCAGCCCCUGAAAGCUGGAGAAACCAUUGGAAGACUAACUUUGCACCACUAUGAUCUGGGCUACUAUCAAUAUGAGCUCAAUUUGAAGGCCGUGCCAGCACCUCCUGAAAAACCUGUCUAUUUCCAGACUGUUCUUGGCAGCAAUCAAAGCAUGUUCGUGAAGUUCACCAACUAUACCCGGCUGAAAACAGAGUACUUCUGCAGGACAGACUGUUCCGACUUCCACACAGAGAGAGUUAUCACCGCACCUCCAGGAGCCCAGGGGGGCACUGAUGUCAACGUGGAAGUCUUCUUUGAGCCCAGCCACCUGGGUGAGACCAAGUGCACCCUGAUGCUGACAUCACUUAUGGGCGGGGAAUAUACCAUCCCCCUCUUUGGAAAGGCCCUGUACCCCAAGCCCCAAGGCCCCUUCCUGAUCCGAGCUGGCUACAGCAUAAUCAUCCCCUUCAAGAAUGUCUUCUUCCACACGGUGUUCUUCUCCUACUCCCUGGACAGCCCAGCCUUCCUCGUCCGGGCUCUGGAUUCUGUGCGGCCCAAGAAGAUCAACAACAUCACAGUUUUCUUUGAAGGAAACCCAUCAGGCAGCAAAAUCCCCAUCACCACCAAGCUCACUGUGACUUGCCCUCCCAGCGAAGGCAAUGAAACUGGAAUUAAAUGGGUCUAUUAUCUGAAGGGGAUCACCCCUUAGUGACAGCCAGGAUUCCCGGCAUCAACCAAAAGCUAUCUUCUCAGCCUGAAGAGUCACGCAUUAUUCUAGCAUAAUACAAAAAAGAGAAAAAAUAGGAACUCUGAAGAGAUUAUUUUCUUCAUUUAAUUAUAGGGGCAGUUAUUUCUGUAUCUUAUGUUUCCCAAAUAUAGACAUGAAAUAUAUAUUCCAUAUUAAACUCUAUAGCCAUAUACUUGAAAUAAGUAAAUCCUUGCAAUUUCCUGAAUUUUGUCUCUUGGCAUGUCCCACAGCUUAAACACUGUGUAAUGAUCUCUCUUUUAACAAGAAGACAUAGUGUCACACUCACGACCUUCUCCACAUAGCACUUGGAAACAUCUGGCACCAGGGCACUGCAGUUUCUUCUUCAAACAUAAAGGUCUAUAGAUUUGACUCUAUUCUGAUGUGAUAAUUUAUUCUGCUUUCACAU